Molecule: transfer RNA, 65 nt
Filed under: uncultured Brevinema sp.
Lineage: Bacteria; Pseudomonadati; Spirochaetota; Spirochaetia; Brevinematales; Brevinemataceae
Rfam family: tRNA
About the family: Transfer RNA (tRNA) molecules are approximately 80 nucleotides in length. Their secondary structure includes four short double-helical elements and three loops (D, anti-codon, and T loops).
Source: RNAcentral
CCAUAGCUCAGCUGGAUAGAGCAACGGACUUCGAAUCCGUAGGUCGUAGGUUCGAAUCCUACUGG